This 22-nucleotide non-coding RNA is filed under the name Arabidopsis thaliana (thale cress). Lineage: Eukaryota; Viridiplantae; Streptophyta; Magnoliopsida; Brassicales; Brassicaceae. The record is from RNAcentral.
CGAGGUUUGUUUCGUGCACCGC